UACGGAGGGGGCUAGCGUUGUUCGGAAUUACUGGGCGUAAAGCGCGCGUAGGCGGACCUGCAAGUCGGGGAUGAAAGCCCGAGGCUCAACCUCGGAACUGCCUUCGAUACUGCGGGUCUCGAGUCCGGGAGAGGUGAGUGGAAUUCCUAGUGUAGAGGUGAAAUUCGUAGAUAUCAGGAGGAACACCUGUGGUGUAGACAGCUUACUGGACCACUUCUGACGCUGAGACACGAAAGCGUGGGUAGCAAACAGG
RNAcentral lists this ribosomal RNA (253 nucleotides) under uncultured bacterium. RNAcentral describes it as "partial 16S ribosomal RNA". It matches the Rfam family "Bacterial small subunit ribosomal RNA", at positions 524 to 776 of the family's 1533-position model. The record is from RNAcentral.